RNAcentral lists this long non-coding RNA (1749 nucleotides) under Homo sapiens (human). RNAcentral describes it as "non-protein coding BAALC-AS1:6". The record is from RNAcentral. Lineage: Eukaryota; Metazoa; Chordata; Mammalia; Primates; Hominidae.
CUGCGCUGCGCCGCCCGGCCUCACUCCGCGGCCCGCCAGGACCCGGCCCCGGUGAACGGGCUCGGGGUGCCGAGGUCCGGCUGCGGGGCCGGGAAGCCACCUCCACCUUGCCGUCUGUUACGACCCCCGAGGCGCAAGGCUGAGCCCCAUCUCGCUAUCCGGGUCCGGAGGGGUUCACCUUAGAAGGAUUUUUUGAAGCUCUUGGCGCUGGCUCUAAAAGAACCCACUUCCUUGCGGAUUUCAGGAGUCAAGAAUCCUUAAACGGAGCCAAUUUGCUUUGUAAAGCCAAUUGCCCAAGUGACUUGAGUUCGAAAGGAGAUACUUCCUGGACAACUGCUAUAAAAACAACAACAAAUACUUUUAUUAAUUCGGGGAGCCUGGUCACCAACUGGAUGCUCAGGGGAGAUGGAACCCUGAGCAGCCCAUGUACAUGGAAGAUCUUUAUUGCAGAGAUCUUCAAACCAGGAAACUGAGGCUAAAGAGUUUAGUAUUCUGCCAAGGCCAGCUAAUAGUUACAGAGCAUGGUUCCAAAUUCAGAGCUGUCGGAAGCUUAAGCCCAUGUGAUGAACCACGAAUGUGAUUUUACCUCAUUUAAGCCUUGCAGCAAACUCUGCCAAGCUGUCUCUACCAGGCCAGAAUUUGGGGCAGGCAAGAUUUUCAGCAUCCCUAAAAUCACACUAAGAAGAUAAACAUGGAAACAGCUUGGAGCUGCCCUACCCAUAGUGAGGUGGUACUGACUGGAAGACAGCUUAAACGAUUUGGAGAAAAGUGGAAUACAUUAAUCUCAGAAAACUCUACCACCUGUAGAAAGAGAGCUAAAAUGGAGACAACCACAGGCAGUCUAAGAUACGCUGAACUACUACAGAAAAUAAUGCAGCAUGAAGGAAUGCUGGAAGGUAUGGGGUCAGAGCAAGCUGAUGGAGGGUCCUUCAUUUCCAAGCCACGAGUACAGCAGGAUGUAAGGCUUAGUUCAUAAGAACAUCUCCUGAAAGACAAUCUCUAUAAAAACUGUUUCAAUAGAAAGAAUGCAAGAUGUAACUGUUUAAUAAUAGGACUGAUAUUUUAAAAAACAAAUGAACGUAAUAGAAGACUAGAUGGAUGUGCUUCUCAAAGUCCUCUCUGUGGGAGGCUUCAUCCUCACUCUAGAUGUGUUGCCUGUAGCAGCUGUUAUUGAUUACCCGCCCAUAGCCUAUCCAUACUUACUCAUCAUUCCUUUACCUACCAGUGGCAUCCUAUUGGAAGCACCUGCGACUUUCUUAGGGCUUUCUCUUGGCCAAGCAUUGGAAGGCCAGCAGUAUUGAAAAGUUAAUAGUCUUGGAAGCACUGGCCCUCAACUAAUGACAAAGAAAAAAUAUAAGAUAAAUUCCCCAGCUUCCUUGCCUCCUGAAUGGGUCAAGUCUGUGGUGUGUUCUACCCGUUUUUCAGAGGUCCCAUGUUUUAAACCCUAGCUGCUCAAGGCAAUUUCCUGAUCAUUGAUGUACUCUCUAUUGGCUAAUUUUUAGAUAAUAUGGAAUAUGCUCAAAAUAGGAUACUCAAAGAAAAAAUCAGAUGCCAAAAUUAUGUACACCGAAUGAGUUCAAUUCUGUAUAAGUGUGGACAUACACACAUCAAAAGAAAUAUGGAACAAAAGAUACUAAAUGUUUAUAGUGGUUAUUUCUGGGUGUUGAAAUUUUAAGUGAUUUUCCUUUUCUUCUUUGUAAUUGUCUCUAUUUUUCAGUUUUUUCAAUAUACCCUGUAUUUCUUUUAAAA